GUUCUUCAUGUAUAGCUGAGACCUGUUCCUCCUGGUUUUGCAUUGCUGCUUCAACCAAUUCCCUUGCAUUGACUUCCUCUUGCAGCUUCAACUUGAUGCCUUCUAACUCAGAAACCUUUGCAUGAAGAUCUUCUCUAGUUGAACUGAGCAAAUUCUCCAAUGCCAAGAUGUCUUCCUUCACCUGAGAUUCUGAAGCUUUCCUCAGGUCCAAUUCUUGUGUCAGUUCAUUUAUGAGAACCUCCUUUGAAGAGAGUCUUUGCUCCAUGUCCAGCAGUUGUGAUUUUGAAAGUGCCAAUUCUUCAUUAACUGCUACGAGUUCUGCUGUAGAGUUCUCAAGGGCUUCUUCAACUUUCUGGUUUUCUGCAAUCUUCUCAUAAAGGCCAUUGACUUCCUCUUGAAGCGAAGCCAUCUGUUCUUCCAUUUCUUUUGCACUUGCUUUUGCUUCUUCAAGCAGCCUUUCAAACUCCAAAGCCCUUUGUGUCUCAGAUUCAGCAUGUGAACCACUUUGUUUGUGCAACUCCUCAAACCUCUUUAACUCACCUUCAGAAAGUUGCAGCUUUUGCUCCAACUCUUGCAAACUCUU
This 583-nucleotide unclassified non-coding RNA is filed under the name Hevea brasiliensis (rubber tree). The record is from RNAcentral. Lineage: Eukaryota; Viridiplantae; Streptophyta; Magnoliopsida; Malpighiales; Euphorbiaceae.